GGAUCCAGACUUUGAUCAUGGCUCAGGAUGAACGCUGGCGGCGUGCCUAACACAUGCAAGUCGAGCGAGAAGGUUAUGAUGGAUUCUUCGGAUGACAGAUUAAUUGGAAAGCGGCGGACGGGUGAGUAACGCGUGGGUAACCUGCCCCAUACACAGGGAUAGCCAUUGGAAACGAUGAUUAAUACCUGAUAAUACAUAUGAACCGCAUGAUUUAAAUGUCAAAGAUUUAUCGGUAUGGGAUGGACCCGCGUCUGAUUAGCUAGUUGGUAAGGUAAUGGCUUACCAAGGCGACGAUCAGUAGCCGACCUGAGAGGGUGAUCGGCCACACUGGAACUGAGACACGGUCCAGACUCCUACGGGAGGCAGCAGUGGGGAAUAUUGCACAAUGGGCGCAAGUCUGAUGCAGCAACGCCGCGUGAGCGAUGAAGGCCUUCGGGUCGUAAAGCUCUGUCCUCAAGGAAGAAAAAAUGACGGUACUUGAGGAGGAAGCCCCGGCUAACUACGUGCCAGCAGCCGCGGUAAU
RNAcentral lists this ribosomal RNA (523 nucleotides) under uncultured bacterium. RNAcentral describes it as "bacterial SSU rRNA". It matches the Rfam family "Bacterial small subunit ribosomal RNA", at positions 1 to 524 of the family's 1533-position model. The record is from RNAcentral.